CGCACCUUGCGCUCCUUGGUAUUCCGAGGAGCAUGCCUGUUUGAGUGUCAUGAAAUUCUCAAACCCAUAAGUCUUUGCGGGCUUACGGGCUUUGGACUUGGAGGCUUGUCGGCGUACUGCAAAGUCAUCGACUCCUCUCAAAUGCAUUAGCUUGAUUCCUUGCGGAUCGACUAUCGGUGUGAUAAUUGUCUACGCCGUUGGUCGUGAAGCGUUUAUGGCGAGCUUCUAAUCGUCUCUUAACGAGACAGCUUACAUUGACCUCUGACCUCAAAUCAGGUAGGACUACCCGCUGAACUUAA
This 299-nucleotide unclassified non-coding RNA is filed under the name fungal sp. RNAcentral describes it as "partial contains 5.8S ribosomal RNA, internal transcribed spacer 2, and large subunit ribosomal RNA". The record is from RNAcentral. Lineage: Eukaryota; Fungi.